UUUGUUUUCUGAAAGGAAAUAAAGAUGCUCAUCGAAAACGAAACCUCUCUCUCCUCUCAGACGCUCAACACUCACAGCUUGCCGUCUCUCUCUCGCGAAAUUUCCCUCUUCAUCCUUACUCACAUGGCCAAAAACACCAGUUGAUGUCGAACCAACAGCCUAUCCUCCAGCAUUUGCAGUGGGUCAGGUCUAAGUUUUCAAAUACUCUCGAACAUCCCCACACCUCCUUUCUCUAUUUCUGUCUAGCCGACUCAUCACCGUCACAAUCCCAAUAGCAGAUCUACCUUUUCCGAAUCGUGAACGUUUUCUCAGAUCCCACGUGAUUUGAGUACUCCAACCCCGCCCAUAGCUCCCUCCGUCACCGCUGAGUUUUGGAUAGAGAACCUGAUCUUGCUGGUCAACAAAAUCCAGAGAGCUUGCACAGCUCUCGGUGACCACGGCGAAACCCGCGCAUUACAGACUCUUUGGGACUUGCUUCCCUCCAUCGCUGUCGUCGGUGGCCAGGAAUUGUUAGUUGGCAUCCUCUAGUACUGUUCCAGCCUCAUAAGAUUGAUGAACGCAUCAAAGAAUAUGAGGAGUUUCUCCACCUUCCAAGGAAAAGGUUCAUUAUGUUGCAAAAUGGAAGGGUAUCACUUUCAUGACAAGUAGACAAGGACUUGGUGUUGGUGGAGGAACGUCAACAAAGGAUCUGGAAAGUUUCAUCUUAUUCUGAAGCAAAGUGAAUUUUCGGUGAUUCUUCCAAAUUUGGUCUGCAUUUGGGAAAGUUCCAGCAUUUUUAAUGUAUCCUCUGAUUUUCUGUUGAGAUUUGAACUCCUAUUUGAAUCAUUUAACUUCUGGUUUUAUGUAUAUUGAAUUAUGCAUUUCAAAUAGUUGUUUCAAAACUAAUUUCAUGUCAAUUGGACUUACAAUGAAUUUUUGGUGAAUUUUCUAAGUUGACCAUGCUGCUGAGAUUUUUUUUUUAUAUGACUCAUGCAGUUCAGUCAGAUUGUGUUCAUCUUUUUUCUUGCUGUUCUAAAUCCGAAUUCCAUGAAAAUUCAAUUGCUUUGACUCUUUCGUGUCGAUUUUACUGGGAGAAGAGAACUUGCAGAUCGCCAUGUCAAUUCCAUAUAUAUAUAUAUGGUAGAUUGCUUUGGAGUAAUAUUACUCUAUAAUUAUUUGUUUUGGGUUAGAAGUAGUCUAGUUUGGCUUGGUGUUCUCCUAAAUUAUGUUCUGAAUUGGCUUCAAGCCUUUUGACUUUGAUGAUAUAACAAGCCUUUUGUAUUGUUCCAAAAUGAAUGAUGUCCAUAUAGUAGAAAAGAAUACUUUGAUUUUAGGGUUU
RNA transcript from Rosa chinensis, 1318 nucleotides. RefSeq lists it as uncharacterized. The record is from RefSeq and is a predicted model, not a curated record. The transcript has 6 exons. Lineage: Eukaryota; Viridiplantae; Streptophyta; Magnoliopsida; Rosales; Rosaceae.